GACGAACGCUGGCGGCAUGCUUAACACAUGCAAGUCGAACGAAAAGCGGUGGACGGUUGCCUCUGUCAAUCUAAGUGGCGAAUGGGAGAGUAAAACGUACCCAACCGGCCCUUCAGAGGGGGACAACACUUGGAAAAGACUGCUAAUAACCCAUGCGUUCCAGCCUCGGCAUCGAGGCCGUAUGGCAGGCGGCCUCUAUUUAUAAGCUAUAGCUGAAGGAGGGGAUUACGGCUGAUUAGCCCGUUGGUGGGGUAACGGCCCACCAAGGCGAUGAUCAGUAGGCGGUCUUAGAGGAUGAACGGCCAAAACUGGAAUUGGACACGGCCCAGACCCCUACGGGAGGGAGGAAGGGGGGAUUUUUCGCCAUGGAGGAAAGUCCUGCUGAAGAACGCCGGGGGGGAGAUGACGGGCUUCCGGUUGUAAAGCUCUUUUUGUCGGGACGAAUGGUUCUUGUGCGAAUAGAGCGAGGUUUUGACGGUACCGGAAUAGAAAGCCACGGCUAACUACGUG
RNAcentral lists this ribosomal RNA (510 nucleotides) under uncultured bacterium. Its description in RNAcentral is "partial 16S ribosomal RNA". It matches the Rfam family "Bacterial small subunit ribosomal RNA", at positions 28 to 507 of the family's 1533-position model. The record is from RNAcentral.